Molecule: ribosomal RNA, 253 nt
Filed under: uncultured bacterium
Lineage: Bacteria
Description: partial 16S ribosomal RNA
Rfam family: Bacterial small subunit ribosomal RNA
Source: RNAcentral
UACGGAGGGUGCGAGCGUUGUCCGGAUUUAUUGGGUUUAAAGGGUGCGUAGGCGGCCUAUUAAGUCCGGGGUGAAAGCCCGUUGCUCAACAACGGAACUGCCCUGGAUACUGGCAGGCUUGAGUCCAGAAGAGGGUGGCGGAAUUCCCGGAGUAGCGGUGAAAUGCAUAGAUACCGGGAAGAACCCCGAUUGCGCAGGCAGCUGCCUAGACUGGAACUGACGCUGAGGCACGAAAGCGUGGGGAGCGAACAGG